CCCUUAGAUGUUCUGGGCUGCACGCGCGCUACACUGAAGCUAUCAACACGUUUUCCCUCCCUGAGAAGGGCGGGUAACCUUUUGAAUCAGCUUCGUGGUAGGGAUCGGGGCUUGCAAUUGUUCCCCGUGAACCAGGAAUUCCUAGUAGACGCGAGUCAUAAGCUCGCAUCGAUUAAGUCCCUGCCCUUUGUACACACCGCCCGUCGCUCCUACUGAUUGAGUGUCUCGGUGAAUUCUUUGAUCUUCUGUCGAUUCAGUUCACUGAUCCGACGGUGGAAAGUUGAAUGAACUUCGUCACUUAGAGGAAGGAGAAGUCGUAACA
RNAcentral lists this ribosomal RNA (322 nucleotides) under uncultured eukaryote. RNAcentral describes it as "partial 18S ribosomal RNA". It matches the Rfam family "Eukaryotic small subunit ribosomal RNA", at positions 1470 to 1796 of the family's 1831-position model. The record is from RNAcentral.